CCUACGGGGGACAGCAGUGGGGAAUAUUGGGCAAUGGGCGAAAGCCUGACCCAGCAAAGCCGCGUGAAGGAAGAAGGCUUUCGGGUUGUAAACUUCUUUUGACAGGGAAGAGCAGAAGACGGUACCUGUCGAAUAAGCCACGGCUAACUACGUGCCAGCAGCCGCGGUAAUACGUAUGGAGCAAGCGUUAUCCGGAUGUACUGGGCGUAAGGGGAGCGUAGGCGGCCUGCCAAGUCUGAUGUGAAAUACCGGGGCUCAACCCCGGGGCUGCAUUGGAAACUGGCAGGCUGGAGUGCCGGAGAGGCAGGCGGAAUUCCUAGUGUAGCGGUGAAAUGCGUAGAUAUUAGGAGGAACACCAGUGGCGAAGGCGGCCUGCUGGACGGUGACUGACGCUGAGGCUCGAAAGCGUGGGGAGCAAACAGGAUUAGAUACCCGAGUAGUC
Molecule: ribosomal RNA, 442 nt
Filed under: uncultured bacterium
Lineage: Bacteria
Description: partial 16S ribosomal RNA
Rfam family: Bacterial small subunit ribosomal RNA
Source: RNAcentral